UUACUGGAGAGCGUUUCUAU
This 20-nucleotide small nuclear RNA is filed under the name Arabidopsis thaliana (thale cress). Its description in RNAcentral is "snRNA_01386". The record is from RNAcentral. Lineage: Eukaryota; Viridiplantae; Streptophyta; Magnoliopsida; Brassicales; Brassicaceae.